Molecule: ribosomal RNA, 2924 nt
Filed under: Escherichia coli
Lineage: Bacteria; Pseudomonadati; Pseudomonadota; Gammaproteobacteria; Enterobacterales; Enterobacteriaceae
Description: LSU rRNA
Rfam family: Bacterial large subunit ribosomal RNA
Source: RNAcentral
GGUUAAGCGACUAAGCGUACACGGUGGAUGCCCUGGCAGUCAGAGGCGAUGAAGGACGUGCUAAUCUGCGAUAAGCGUCGGUAAGGUGAUAUGAACCGUUAUAACCGGCGAUUUCCGAAUGGGGAAACCCAGUGUGUUUCGACACACUAUCAUUAACUGAAUCCAUAGGUUAAUGAGGCGAACCGGGGGAACUGAAACAUCUAAGUACCCCGAGGAAAAGAAAUCAACCGAGAUUCCCCCAGUAGCGGCGAGCGAACGGGGAGCAGCCCAGAGCCUGAAUCAGUGUGUGUGUUAGUGGAAGCGUCUGGAAAGGCGCGCGAUACAGGGUGACAGCCCCGUACACAAAAAUGCACAUGCUGUGAGCUCGAUGAGUAGGGCGGGACACGUGGUAUCCUGUCUGAAUAUGGGGGGACCAUCCUCCAAGGCUAAAUACUCCUGACUGACCGAUAGUGAACCAGUACCGUGAGGGAAAGGCGAAAAGAACCCCGGCGAGGGGAGUGAAAAAGAACCUGAAACCGUGUACGUACAAGCAGUGGGAGCACGCUUAGGCGUGUGACUGCGUACCUUUUGUAUAAUGGGUCAGCGACUUAUAUUCUGUAGCAAGGUUAACCGAAUAGGGGAGCCGAAGGGAAACCGAGUCUUAACUGGGCGUUAAGUUGCAGGGUAUAGACCCGAAACCCGGUGAUCUAGCCAUGGGCAGGUUGAAGGUUGGGUAACACUAACUGGAGGACCGAACCGACUAAUGUUGAAAAAUUAGCGGAUGACUUGUGGCUGGGGGUGAAAGGCCAAUCAAACCGGGAGAUAGCUGGUUCUCCCCGAAAGCUAUUUAGGUAGCGCCUCGUGAAUUCAUCUCCGGGGGUAGAGCACUGUUUCGGCAAGGGGGUCAUCCCGACUUACCAACCCGAUGCAAACUGCGAAUACCGGAGAAUGUUAUCACGGGAGACACACGGCGGGUGCUAACGUCCGUCGUGAAGAGGGAAACAACCCAGACCGCCAGCUAAGGUCCCAAAGUCAUGGUUAAGUGGGAAACGAUGUGGGAAGGCCCAGACAGCCAGGAUGUUGGCUUAGAAGCAGCCAUCAUUUAAAGAAAGCGUAAUAGCUCACUGGUCGAGUCGGCCUGCGCGGAAGAUGUAACGGGGCUAAACCAUGCACCGAAGCUGCGGCAGCGACGCUUAUGCGUUGUUGGGUAGGGGAGCGUUCUGUAAGCCUGUGAAGGUGUGCUGUGAGGCAUGCUGGAGGUAUCAGAAGUGCGAAUGCUGACAUAAGUAACGAUAAAGCGGGUGAAAAGCCCGCUCGCCGGAAGACCAAGGGUUCCUGUCCAACGUUAAUCGGGGCAGGGUGAGUCGACCCCUAAGGCGAGGCCGAAAGGCGUAGUCGAUGGGAAACAGGUUAAUAUUCCUGUACUUGGUGUUACUGCGAAGGGGGGACGGAGAAGGCUAUGUUGGCCGGGCGACGGUUGUCCCGGUUUAAGCGUGUAGGCUGGUUUUCCAGGCAAAUCCGGAAAAUCAAGGCUGAGGCGUGAUGACGAGGCACUACGGUGCUGAAGCAACAAAUGCCCUGCUUCCAGGAAAAGCCUCUAAGCAUCAGGUAACAUCAAAUCGUACCCCAAACCGACACAGGUGGUCAGGUAGAGAAUACCAAGGCGCUUGAGAGAACUCGGGUGAAGGAACUAGGCAAAAUGGUGCCGUAACUUCGGGAGAAGGCACGCUGAUAUGUAGGUGAAGCGACUUGCUCGUGGAGCUGAAAUCAGUCGAAGAUACCAGCUGGCUGCAACUGUUUAUUAAAAACACAGCACUGUGCAAACACGAAAGUGGACGUAUACGGUGUGACGCCUGCCCGGUGCCGGAAGGUUAAUUGAUGGGGUCAGCGCAAGCGAAGCUCUUGAUCGAAGCCCCGGUAAACGGCGGCCGUAACUAUAACGGUCCUAAGGUAGCGAAAUUCCUUGUCGGGUAAGUUCCGACCUGCACGAAUGGCGUAAUGAUGGCCAGGCUGUCUCCACCCGAGACUCAGUGAAAUUGAACUCGCUGUGAAGAUGCAGUGUACCCGCGGCAAGACGGAAAGACCCCGUGAACCUUUACUAUAGCUUGACACUGAACAUUGAGCCUUGAUGUGUAGGAUAGGUGGGAGGCUUUGAAGUGUGGACGCCAGUCUGCAUGGAGCCGACCUUGAAAUACCACCCUUUAAUGUUUGAUGUUCUAACGUUGACCCGUAAUCCGGGUUGCGGACAGUGUCUGGUGGGUAGUUUGACUGGGGCGGUCUCCUCCUAAAGAGUAACGGAGGAGCACGAAGGUUGGCUAAUCCUGGUCGGACAUCAGGAGGUUAGUGCAAUGGCAUAAGCCAGCUUGACUGCGAGCGUGACGGCGCGAGCAGGUGCGAAAGCAGGUCAUAGUGAUCCGGUGGUUCUGAAUGGAAGGGCCAUCGCUCAACGGAUAAAAGGUACUCCGGGGAUAACAGGCUGAUACCGCCCAAGAGUUCAUAUCGACGGCGGUGUUUGGCACCUCGAUGUCGGCUCAUCACAUCCUGGGGCUGAAGUAGGUCCCAAGGGUAUGGCUGUUCGCCAUUUAAAGUGGUACGCGAGCUGGGUUUAGAACGUCGUGAGACAGUUCGGUCCCUAUCUGCCGUGGGCGCUGGAGAACUGAGGGGGGCUGCUCCUAGUACGAGAGGACCGGAGUGGACGCAUCACUGGUGUUCGGGUUGUCAUGCCAAUGGCACUGCCCGGUAGCUAAAUGCGGAAGAGAUAAGUGCUGAAAGCAUCUAAGCACGAAACUUGCCCCGAGAUGAGUUCUCCCUGACUCCUUGAGAGUCCUGAAGGAACGUUGAAGACGACGACGUUGAUAGGCCGGGUGUGUAAGCGCAGCGAUGCGUUGAGCUAACCGGUACUAAUGAACCGUGAGGCUUAACCUUACAACGCCGAAGCUGUUUUG